Molecule: ribosomal RNA, 478 nt
Filed under: uncultured bacterium
Lineage: Bacteria
Description: bacterial SSU rRNA
Rfam family: Bacterial small subunit ribosomal RNA
Source: RNAcentral
CUCUGUGACUCCUACGGGGAGGCAGCAGUCGGGGAAUAUUGCACAAUGGGGGAAACCCUGAUGCAGCCAUGCCGCGUGUGUGAAGAAGGCCUUCGGGUUGUAAAGCACUUUCAGUAGGGAGGAAGGUAGUGUAGUUAACACCUGCAUUAUUUGACGUUACCUACAGAAGAAGCACCGGCUAACUCCGUGCCAGCAGCCGCGGUAAUACGGAGGGGUGCGAGCGUUAAUCGGAAUUACUGGGCGUAAAGCGCAUGCAGGCGGCCUGUUAAGUCAGAUGUGAAAGCCCGGGGCUUAACCUCGGAAUUGCAUUUGAAACUGGCAGGCUAGAGUCUUGUAGAGGGGGGUAGGAAUUUCAGGUGUAGCGGUGAAAUGCGUAGAGAUCUGAAGGAAUACCAGUGGCGAAGGCGGCCCCCUCGGACAAAGACUGACGCUCAGAUGCGAAAGCGUGGGGAGCAAACAGGAUUAGAUACCCUGGUAG